UAUCAAAUAAUAAAUUAAUUAAUCCUUUAGCCAAGAUCAGAACACUCGUUAGUGUGCGACCCCAUAGGUUCAAUACUAAACCGGUAGUAAAUUGAUCAUAUCAAUAUACUAAUCAAGGGUGGCGUCUAGCAACACUCCUUAACGACCGGAUAGCAUGAAGUAUACAAUUUACUUUCAAGAACCAGUAGAAGAAUAAUGUAGCAAUUCCUUCUGUCCUUAUAGCUCUGGAUCACCCUAGGAUAUAGUUCAACUGUCAAA
This 258-nucleotide long non-coding RNA is filed under the name Nicotiana benthamiana. RNAcentral's name for it is "long non-coding RNA (NBEN_LNC036970)". Lineage: Eukaryota; Viridiplantae; Streptophyta; Magnoliopsida; Solanales; Solanaceae. The record is from RNAcentral.